AAAUUAUCGUGUUGCUAUUCCUUGUUGUGAAUAUUCUCGCCUACUAGGGAAACAAACGAUCGUUAAUCAGAGAUUUUCGCAGCUUACAAAAAUACCCCAUUCAAAGCAAGUUACGAAAUGAAUAAACAUCGCGGAGACGCUCACAUUGAUAGUUAUUUACCCGAUAGCCUUCUGACUAGCAACUAACAAUAGAAUUUUCGUUAAUCCCGUAUUCCCCCACGACUCCGAUUAGCAAAAUAAAUAAAAUGAAAAAAAAGAUAGAAA
RNAcentral lists this long non-coding RNA (264 nucleotides) under Gossypium raimondii (Peruvian cotton). Its description in RNAcentral is "long non-coding RNA (GRAI_LNC001370)". The record is from RNAcentral. Lineage: Eukaryota; Viridiplantae; Streptophyta; Magnoliopsida; Malvales; Malvaceae.